GAUGAACGCUGGCGGCGUGCCUAAUACAUGCAAGUCGAGCGAACAGACGAGGAGCUUGCUCCUCUGACGUGAGCGGCGGACGUGUGAGUAACACGUGUAUAACCUACCUAUAAGACUGGGAUAACUUCGGGAAACCGGAGCUAAUACCGGAUAAUAUAUUGAACCGCAUGGGUCAAUAGUGAAAGACGGUUUUUCUGUCACGUCUAGAGGGAUCCCCGCCGCAUUAGAUAGUUGUUAGGGUAACGGAUUAACACGGCGACGAUGAGUGUCCGACCUGAUAGGGUGGUCGGCGACACGGGAAGUGAGACAGCGACAAGGCUCCUAAGGGAGGGCGCAGAAGCGAAUCUUCGGCAAUGGGGGAAAGCAUGACGCAGCAACGCCACGUGUGUGACGAAGACGUUAGGAGCGUAAUAACCUGUUAUUAGGGAAAAACCAAUGUCUACGUAGACAAGGAGGUAUUGACGGUAACUAAUAAAGAAGCCACGGCUAACUACGUG
This 497-nucleotide ribosomal RNA is filed under the name uncultured bacterium. RNAcentral describes it as "partial 16S ribosomal RNA". It matches the Rfam family "Bacterial small subunit ribosomal RNA", at positions 28 to 507 of the family's 1533-position model. The record is from RNAcentral.